UGUAUUCACUACUGUAAGUCGCUCUGGAUAAGAGCGUCUGCUAAAUUACUUAAA
This is a non-coding RNA of Salmo salar (Atlantic salmon), 54 nucleotides long. The record is from Rfam. NCBI's taxonomy places the organism in Eukaryota, Metazoa, Chordata, Actinopteri, Salmoniformes, Salmonidae.